UACGUAGGGUGCGAGCGUUAAUCGGGAUUACUGGGCGUAAAGCGUGCGCAGGCGGUUAUUUAAGUCAGGUGUGAAAGCCCUGGGCUUAACCUAGGAAUUGCGCUUGAGACUGGAUAGCUUGGAGUGCGGCAGAGGGAGGUGGAAUUCCACGUGUAGCAGUGAAAUGCGUAGAGAUGUGGAGGAACACCGAUGGCGAAGGCAGCCUCCUGGGCCAGCACUGACGCUCAUGCACGAAAGCGUGGGGAGCAAACAGG
This 254-nucleotide ribosomal RNA is filed under the name uncultured bacterium. RNAcentral describes it as "partial 16S ribosomal RNA". It matches the Rfam family "Bacterial small subunit ribosomal RNA", at positions 524 to 776 of the family's 1533-position model. The record is from RNAcentral.